This 227-nucleotide long non-coding RNA is filed under the name Elaeis guineensis (African oil palm). RNAcentral's name for it is "long non-coding RNA (EGUI_LNC031398)". The record is from RNAcentral. Lineage: Eukaryota; Viridiplantae; Streptophyta; Magnoliopsida; Arecales; Arecaceae.
AAUUGAAUUGAUAGGAGAAAUAAGAUUUAAUUCAUAUUAAAUGAUAGUAAACCUAUAUGAUGGUUUUGAAUGUGUUAACAGACUCAAGGUCUAAUUUGGAUUUGAAUGUGUUCGAUAUAUACUGGGGACAAGAAGUAGAAGUUUCUCUUGAAUUUACAUAUAACUUAAGUUUUGAAUAUUUUUAAUACAUAAUAGUAUAUUUUGAUCCAAAGCUAUUUAAUGAAGCC